Long non-coding RNA from Alligator mississippiensis (American alligator), 604 nucleotides. RefSeq lists it as uncharacterized. The record is from RefSeq and is a predicted model, not a curated record. NCBI's taxonomy places the organism in Eukaryota, Metazoa, Chordata, Crocodylia, Alligatoridae. The transcript is spliced from 4 exons.
CUGCCUGCCUCCAAGACAGAUUAAGAGCUUGUGCUCCAGCUCACAGAAGAUGUCUGUUGGGUGGGUCCCCAUGCAACCGCCCCCUUUCUCUCCACCCAAGAUUUUAACUUCUGCCUUACGUUUUGAAAACUUCCAAGGAUGGAGAUUCCACCACCUCUCUGGACAACCUGUUCCAGUGUUUUACUACCCUCCUACUAAAUGUCCACGACAUGCCCCAAGCAAUAUCUUGGCAUUGCAGGCAGGCCACUGGACAAGACUGGAAGCAACAGGGCUUUCUCUGAAAGAUCAGGCCACACCUUCCUCUCCAGCCAGGUACUGAUACCGUGGCAAUAUGCAGUGAGCCUUUAUGUGUAAGAAUGGAAGAAUGGGAAAGAGGAAACAGAUCUCCAGGAAAAGAAGGAAAAGGGAAAAAAGAAAAACAAGUGUACAUGAUCUCCCAUGCUGCUGGAUAGGUGCUUGUAGUGACAUAACAUGUCCCUUAUUUUUAUUAUCUGUAACAGAGUGUCCUUGGGGUACCAGCAGGGUAGCAAACAGGGCACGUGACCCAAGACAGCAUGAGGGGCUAAAGAAAGAUUUAAAAAAAAAUAAAUACUUUGGUAUUUCA